CCUACGGGUGGCAGCAGUGAGGAAUAUUGGUCAAUGGGCGCGAGCCUGAACCAGCCAAGUCGCGUGAGGGAAGACGGUCCUAUGGAUUGUAAACCUCUUUUGUCGGGGAGCAAAAGACGCCACGCGUGGCGUUCCGAGAGUACCCGAAGAAAAAGCAUCGGCUAACUCCGUGCCAGCAGCCGCGGUAAUACGGAGGAUGCGAGCGUUAUCCGGAUUUAUUGGGUUUAAAGGGUGCGCAGGCGGAAUAUCAAGUCAGCGGUAAAAUUGAGAGGCUCAACCUCUUCGAGCCGUUGAAACUGGUGUUCUUGAGUGAGCGAGAAGUAGGCGGAAUGCGUGGUGUAGCGGUGAAAUGCAUAGAUAUCACGAAGAACUCCGAUUGCGAAGGCAGCAUACCGGCGCGCAACUGACGCUCAUGCACGAAAGUGUGGGUAUCGAACAGGAUUAGAUACCCGGGUAGUC
Molecule: ribosomal RNA, 459 nt
Filed under: uncultured bacterium
Lineage: Bacteria
Description: partial 16S ribosomal RNA
Rfam family: Bacterial small subunit ribosomal RNA
Source: RNAcentral